AUUGCCCUAGUAACGGCGAGUGAAGCGGCAACAGCUCAAAUUUGAAAUCUGGCCCCCCCGGGGUCCGAGUUGUAAUUUGCAGAGGGUGCUUCGGCGUUGACCCCGGGCCAAGUCCCUUGGAACAGGGCGUCCCAGAGGGUGAGAGCCCCGUGCCCGCCCGGGCCGUCUUCGCCGCGCGAAGCCCCUUCGACGAGUCGAGUUGUUUGGGAAUGCAGCUCUAAGCGGGAGGUAAAUUUCUUCCAAGGCUAAAUACCGGCCAGAGACCGAUAGCGCACAAGUAGAGUGAUCGAAAGAUGAAAAGCACUUUGGAAAGAGAGUCAAAAAGCACGUGAAAUUGUUGAAAGGGAAGCUCUUGCCGCCAGACUUGCGGCGGUCGCUCAGCCGUCCCCCGGGGCGGUGUACUCGUCCGCCGGCAGGCCAGCGUCGGCUCGGGCGGCCGGAUAAAGGCCCUGGGAAGGUGGCCCCUCUCGGGGGGUGUUAUAGCCCGGGGUGCAAUGCGGUCAGCCCGGGCCGAGGCACGCGUUCGCUAGGACGCUGGCGUAAUGGCUGCAAGCGACCCGUCUUGA
RNAcentral lists this ribosomal RNA (566 nucleotides) under Epicladonia lapponica. Its description in RNAcentral is "partial large subunit ribosomal RNA". It matches the Rfam family "Eukaryotic large subunit ribosomal RNA", at positions 74 to 657 of the family's 3401-position model. Lineage: Eukaryota; Fungi; Ascomycota; Leotiomycetes. The record is from RNAcentral.